GUAGGGUGAACCUGCGGAAGGAUCAUUAACGAAGCCAAUUUAUUGGCAUUAAUUCUUUCAUUCUGUGAAUUUAUCUUUGCUUUGGGGAGUUUACUUGUAUACUUGUAGUAUAUUUGUAUCUCCCCAAAUUUUUAAACUCUUAACUUUUAUAAUUUGUCUGAGUGAUUAAAAUAAAUUAAUCAAAACUUUCAACAACGGAUCUCUUGGUUCUCGCAUCGAUGAAGAACGCAGCAAAACGCGAUAUGUAAUGUGAAUUGCAGAAUUUUGUGAAUCAUCGAAUUUUUGAACGCACAUUGCGCCCUUUGGUAUUCCGAAGGGCAUACCUGUUUGAGCGUCAUUUCUUCUUCAUUUUAAAUGGUUUUGUGGUUUUUUCGGUAGUACGAAUAUCCCGCUAAAUAAAACGGCAUGAUUGUUAUCUUGUGAAACGUCUUAGGUUUAACAACUACGUAGAACAGAUGACUAUGGUCAGGCCUAACAACAACCUCUUUAAAAUUUGACCUCAAAUCAGGCAGGAAUACCCGCUGAACUUAAGCAUAUCAAUAA
This 543-nucleotide ribosomal RNA is filed under the name Spencermartinsiella sp. W379. RNAcentral describes it as "eukaryotic LSU rRNA". The stretch from base 184 to 337 matches the Rfam family "5.8S ribosomal RNA". The record is from RNAcentral. Lineage: Eukaryota; Fungi; Ascomycota; Dipodascomycetes; Dipodascales; Trichomonascaceae.